UACGUAGGUGGCAAGCGAUACUCGGAAUCACUAGGCGUAAAGCGCAGGUAGGCGGUUUAGUAAGUCUGUUGUGAAAGCUCCCGGCUUAACUGGGAGAGGUCAACGGAAACUGCUAGGCUGGAGUGCGGUAGAGGUAGCUGGAAUUCCCGGUGUAGCGGUGAAAUGCGUAGAUAUCGGGAGGAAUACCUAUGGCGAAAGCAGGCUACUGGACCGUCACUGACUCUGAUCUGCGAAAGCUAGGGGAGCAAACAGG
RNAcentral lists this ribosomal RNA (253 nucleotides) under uncultured bacterium. Its description in RNAcentral is "partial 16S ribosomal RNA". It matches the Rfam family "Bacterial small subunit ribosomal RNA", at positions 524 to 776 of the family's 1533-position model. The record is from RNAcentral.